AGAACAGAAAAUUCAAGUCCACUCUCUCCCUCUCUCUUUCUCUCCUUUCUUUUAAGUUUAAGUUCUUGGUGCAAUAAAGUAUCUAGAACUUGUCUGCAAAUUGGUUUUGUGCAGCCAUGGAUGCCAAAACCAAACAAAGUUUGGUGCUUUUGCUUUGCUUAUGCCUACAUCUCAAAACCCAGGUUUGCAUUGCAGCUGACACCAUCGCUGCAAACCAAUCUAUCUCUGGUGAUCAAACCAUUGUCUCUGCAGGAAAGGUUUUUGUGCUAGGUUUCUUCAAACCAGGUAAUUCUUCAAACUACUACAUAGGCAUGUGGUACUCUAAACAAGUGGUAUCUUUGCAGACCAUAGUUUGGGUGGCAAAUAGGGAAACACCAGUUUCUGAUAGAUUUUCUUCAGUCUUGAGGAUCUCAGAUGGUAAUUUAGUUCUCUUUAAUGAGUCCAACACUCCAAUUUGGUCCACAAAUUUAGCCUCCACCACCACCUCAGGUUCUGCACAAGCAGUUCUUUUAGAUAGUGGAAACCUUGUCUUAAGAACUGCUGGGUCUAAUGCUAAUACAUCAGAGCCUUUGUGGCAAAGCUUUGAUCAUCCAGCUCAUACAUGGCUACCAGGAGCUACAAUGGGAUUCAACACUGUCACCAAUCAAACCUUAACUCUCACUUCAUGGAAGAGUUCAGAGGAUCCUGCACCAGGUAUUUUCACUCUUGAGCUUGACCCCAAUGGAAGUAAUGCGUAUCUCAUAGUUUGGAAUAAGUCUACACCGUAUUGGACCAGUGGAUCAUGGGAUGCAAAGUCACGUAUUUUCAGCUUGGUUCCUGAGAUGAGGCGUAAAUAUAUCUUCAAUUUCAGCUAUGUUACAAACAAAAACGAAAGUUAUUUCACCUAUUCUGUUUAUGAUCCUAAGAUGAUAUCUCGAUUCGUGAUGCAUACCUCAGGGCAGAUUCAGCAACUCACAUGAUUGAAGAUUUCCAGCCAGUGGAAUUUGUUUUGGAACCUACCAAGAAAGCAAUGUGAAGUUUAUGAUUUAUGCGGGGCAUUUGGCAGUUGCAACGAGGUAAGCACGGUCUCCUGUAAUUGUUUGACAGGUUUUGAGCCAAAGUUGCAGAGGGAUUGGAAUUUGCAAGCUUAUUCUGGUGGGUGUAAAAGAAAAACCCCUCUGCAUUGUGAGAAUGCUACUAGCGCUGACGGGAAGCAAGACCAGUUUCUGAAAAUGGCUACUAUGUCAUUGCCUGAAAAUGAGCAGUCUGUGAAGGUUGAGACUAUUGCUGGAUGUGAAUCAAUCUGCUUAAAUAAUUGCUCUUGCACUGCUUAUGCUUAUAAUAGCAGUGGAUGUUCAAUUUGGAUCGGAGAACUCUUCAAUCUGCAACAACUCACAUCAAGUGAUAGUCAGGGAAUAACUUUGUACCUCAGACUUGCAGCUUCAGAGUUUAAGGGUCCUAAAAGCAAUAAGGGAUUGAUUAUUGGUGUUGUGUCUGGCUCAGCUGCUGGAAUAGCAAUUCUCCUAGGCCUUAUUUUGGUUGUAAUCUUGAGACAAAGGAAGAGAGUGACUGGAACGGGAAAAGCAGUAGAGGGUUCAUUGGUGGCCUUUGGAUACAGAGAUCUGCAAGAUGCAACAAAGAACUUCUCAGAAAAAUUGGGGGGAGGAGGCUUUGGUUCUGUUUUCAAAGGGACCCUGCCUGAUUCAUCUGUCAUAGCAGUAAAGAAGCUUGAAAGUGUUAGCCAAGGAGAGAAGCAAUUCAGAACUGAAGUGAGCACAAUUGGGACAAUUCAACAUGUCAAUCUUGUCCGGCUUUGCGGGUUCUGCUCUGAAGGUACAGAAAGGAUGUUGGUCUAUGAUUACAUGCCGAAAGGAUCAUUGGAUUCUCACCUUUUCCAUGAUAAGCGUCCAAAUGUUUUGGAUUGGAAAAAAAGGUACCAAAUUGCUCUGGGGACAGCAAGAGGGUUGGCUUAUCUUCAUGAGAAAUGCAGAGAUUACAUCAUACAUUGUGACAUAAAGCCAGAAAACAUUCUUUUAGAUACUGAACUUGGUCCAAAAGUGGCAGACUUUGGCCUUGCAAAGCUUGUUGGAAGAGAUUUCAGCAGGGUCCUGACAACUAUAAGAGGGACAAGAGGCUAUCUUGCACCGGAGUGGAUUUCAGGAGUGGCAAUAACAGUGAAAGCUGAUGUUUACAGCUAUGGAAUGAUGCUGUUUGAAUUCGUGUCGGGACGACGAAACUCUGAGCAAUCUGAAGAUGGCAAAGUUAGAUUCUUCCCAAGUUGGGCUGCUAGCCAGAUAAGCACUGCAGAAACUGAUGUGCUGAGCCUAUUAGACCCCAGGCUAGAUGGAAAUGCUGAUGUACAAGAGCUCACAAGGAUUUGUAGAGUUGCUUGCUGGUGUGUUCAAGAUGAUGAGGCUCAUAGGCCAUCAAUGGGCCAGGUGGUGCAAAUCCUUGAGGGAGUUUCAGAUGUCAACCUGCCACCAAUACCAAGAUCUCUUCAAGUCCUUGGAGACGACCAGGAGCACAUAAUCUUCUUCACUGAGUCAUCCUCAAGCCAGAGUUCACAUCAAAGGAGCAAUAACACUUCAACAGCUCCCUCUCAGACCAAGAGCACCACAUCUUCAACCAUCUCCAAGAGAUCUGACGAAGAGCAUCAAAUAAACACUUGAUGUGCCUUUUCCAUUUGGUCAUUUGGUUUGAGCCUUCUAAGUAAUUGUCAUAUGUAUUAUAUAUUUUUAUAUAGCGUCUUUUGAUUUGGUAUGAUAAUUGUAUUAUUGUUUAUAUAUAUGCCAAGAA
Molecule: non-coding RNA, 2775 nt
Organism: Prunus avium (sweet cherry)
Lineage: Eukaryota; Viridiplantae; Streptophyta; Magnoliopsida; Rosales; Rosaceae
Source: RefSeq, a predicted model, not a curated record